AGCUCCAAUAGCGUAUAUUAAAGUUGUUGCAGUUAAAAAGCUCGUAGUUGGAUUUCGGAUUGGGCCAGUUGGUCGGCCGCAAGGUCUGUUACUGACUGGUUCGGUCUUCUUCGCAAAGACUGCGUGUGCUCUUCGUUGAGUGUGCGUAGGAUUUACGACGUUUACUUUGAAAAAAUUAGAGUGUUCAAAGCAGGCUAUCGCUUGAAUACAUGAGCAUGGAAUAAUGGAAUAGGACUUUGGUUCUAUUUUGUUGGUUUCUAGGGCCGAAGUAAUGAUUAAGAGGGACAGUUGGGGGCAUUCGUAUUUAAUUGUCAGAGGUGAAAUUCUUGGAUUUAUGAAAGACGAACUAGUGCGAAAGCAUUUGCCAAGGAUGUUUUCAUUAAUCAAGAACGAAAGUAGG
Molecule: ribosomal RNA, 400 nt
Filed under: phytoplankton environmental sample
Lineage: Eukaryota
Description: partial small subunit ribosomal RNA
Rfam family: Eukaryotic small subunit ribosomal RNA
Source: RNAcentral